RNAcentral lists this ribosomal RNA (741 nucleotides) under uncultured Roseovarius sp. Its description in RNAcentral is "bacterial SSU rRNA". It matches the Rfam family "Bacterial small subunit ribosomal RNA", at positions 8 to 795 of the family's 1533-position model. Lineage: Bacteria; Pseudomonadati; Pseudomonadota; Alphaproteobacteria; Rhodobacterales; Roseobacteraceae. The record is from RNAcentral.
AGAGUUUGAUUCUGGCUCAGAACGAACGCUGGCGGCAGGCUUAACACAUGCAAGUCGAGCGAUCCCUUCGGGGAUAGCGGCGGACGGGUGAGUAACGCGUGGGAACGUGCCCUCUUCUGCGGGAUAGCCACUGGAAACGGUGAGUAAUACCGCAUACGCCCUUUUGGGGAAAGAUUUAUCGGAGGAGGAUCGGCCCGCGUUGGAUUAGGUAGUUGGUGGGGUAAUGGCCUACCAAGCCGACGAUCCAUAGCUGGUUUUAGAGGAUGAUCAGCCACACUGGGACUGAGACACGGCCCAGACUCCUACGGGAGGCAGCAGUGGGGAAUCUUAGACAAUGGGCGCAAGCCUGAUCUAGCCAUGCCGCGUGAGUGACGAAGGCCCUAGGGUCGUAAAGCUCUUUCGCCUGUGAUGAUAAUGACAGUAGCAGGUAAAGAAACCCCGGCUAACUCCGUGCCAGCAGCCGCGGUAAUACGGAGGGGGUUAGCGUUGUUCGGAAUUACUGGGCGUAAAGCGCGCGUAGGCGGAUUGGAAAGUUGGGGGUGAAAUCCCGGGGCUCAACCCCGGAACUGCCUCCAAAACUUCCAGUCUGGAGUUCGAGAGAGGUGAGUGGAAUUCCGAGUGUAGAGGUGAAAUUCGUAGAUAUUCGGAGGAACACCAGUGGCGAAGGCGGCUCACUGGCUCGAUACUGACGCUGAGGUGCGAAAGUGUGGGGAGCAAACAGGAUUAGAUACCCUGGUAGUC